This 252-nucleotide ribosomal RNA is filed under the name uncultured bacterium. RNAcentral describes it as "partial 16S ribosomal RNA". It matches the Rfam family "Bacterial small subunit ribosomal RNA", at positions 524 to 776 of the family's 1533-position model. The record is from RNAcentral.
UACGGAGGAUGCGAGCGUUAUCCGGAUUUAUUGGGUUUAAAGGGUGCGUAGGCGGGUUAUCAAGUCAGCGGUAAAAUCGUGGAGCUCAACUCCAUCCAGCCGUUGAAACUGAUGGUCUUGAGUGGGCGAGAAGUAUGCGGAAUGCGUGGUGUAGCGGUGAAAUGCAUAGAUAUCACGCAGAACUCCGAUUGCGAAGGCAGCAUACCGGCGCCCGACUGACGCUGAAGCACGAAAGCGUGGGUAUCGAACAGG